This 1062-nucleotide long non-coding RNA is filed under the name Oreochromis niloticus (Nile tilapia). RNAcentral's name for it is "lncRNA (ENSONIG00000036216.1)". The record is from RNAcentral. Lineage: Eukaryota; Metazoa; Chordata; Actinopteri; Cichliformes; Cichlidae.
AUGGACAGCGUCGUGCUGACAAAGCUUGGACAGACUGUUUGCACUGCACAGCCCCAGCCGUCGCAUCCUAAGCCGGCUGCGUGCCCUGUGCCGCUACAAUUAGCGUCCACUGAGCCAGGGGUCUCCGCACCUGCUGGCUCUGCACCCGUCUCCGCUGGGGGUUCAGGAGAACCUCUCCAGCCGCUCCUCGUCCCCGCUGGGGGUUCAGGAGAACCUCUCCAGCCGUCCCUCGUCUCCGCUGGGGUUCAGGAGAACCUCUCCAGCCGCUCCUCGUCUCCACUGGCGGCUCUGGUCAGCCCGGCCAGCCGCUCCUCGUCUCCGCUGGAGGGUCCAAUUCACCGUCGCCUGGUCCAGCCUCUGCAUCUGCUUCGCCGUCGCCUGGUCCAGCCUCUGCAUCUGCUUCGCCGUCGCCUGGUCCAGCCUCUGCUUCAGCUUCGCCGUCGCCUGGUCCGGCUCCAUCGACUGCUUCUGCUCCGCCUACGCCGUCGCCUGGUCCGGCUCCAUCGACUGCUUCUGCUCCGCCUAUGCCGUCGCCUGGUCCGGCUCCAUCGUCGCCUGUGGCUGCCACGCCACCGUCCAGUCCAGCUUCUGCUUCAGCUCCAUCGUCGCCUGUGGCUGCCACGCCACCGUCCGGUCCUACCUCGUCUGGUCCUGUGCCCACCAAGCCUCGACCAGUACGCCCGAUGCUUGAGAGCCGCCGCCGCCUUCCACGCGGUCGGCCUCCGGACCCGCUCUGCUGCCGCCGCCGCCUUCCACGCGGUCGGCCUCCGGACCCGCUCUGCUGCCGCCGCCGCCUUCCACGCGGUCGGCCUCCGGAACAGCCGAACUGAACUUUUGUGCUGUCGCCCCCCGGGUCAACCUCCUGUUCUCUAUGGACACCGCUUCCCUGUUUUGAACUAUUUUUGUGUGUUUGUGGACUCAGUUUUGGUCUCGUGCUCCUUGUCUUUUGUUUGGUUUCGUUCCCUCCGUCCUGGUCCCCCGCCUCCCGCCCUGGGUGGGUUGUUUUCUGUUUUUUCUUGUCUUUUGGUUCUUGGGUUUGGGCUGUCGGGAGCCAGCCCUUGA